RNAcentral lists this unclassified non-coding RNA (201 nucleotides) under uncultured fungus. RNAcentral describes it as "sequence contains ITS1". The record is from RNAcentral. Lineage: Eukaryota; Fungi.
UUAACUAUUAUAUAGUACUCAGACGACACUGACAUUCAGGGUUUUGGGUCCUCUGGCGGGCGCUUACCAGCCGGAGCCGGUAGCCAGGCCGGAGCGCGGCGGCCCGCCAAAGCAACAAAGGUAAUAAUAACACAGGGUGGGAGAUCUACCCGGUAGGGCAUGAGCUCGGUAAUGAUCCCUCCGCAGGUUCACCUACGGAGA